CCUACGGGAGGCAGCAGUGGGGAAUAUUGGACAAUGGGCGAAAGCCUGAUCCAGCAAUUCCGCGUGUGUGAAGAAGGCCUUCGGGUUGUAAAGCACUUUAGUGGGGGAAGAAACAGCUUGGCCACACCAAGCCUUGACGGUACCCCAAGAAUAAGCACCGGCUAACUCUGUGCCAGCAGCCGCGGUAAUACAGAGGGUGCAAGCGUUAAUCGGAUUUACUGGGCGUAAAGGGUGCGUAGGUGGCUAUUUAAGUCGGAUGUGAAAGCCCGGGGCUCAACCUCGGAAUUGCAUUCGAUACUGAGUGGCUAGAGUUCGGUAGAGGGCGGCGGAAUUUCCGGUGUAGCGGUGAAAUGCGUAGAUAUCGGAAGGAACAUCAAUGGCGAAGGCAGCCGCCUGGGCCUGGACUGACACUGAGGCACGAAAGCGUGGGUAGCAAACAGGAUUAGAUACCCUGGUAGUCCACGCCGUAAACGAUGAGAACUUGACGUUGGUUCGUUUUACGAAUCGGUGCCGCAGCUAACGCGAUAAGUUCUCCGCCUGGGGGAGGUACGGCCGCGAGGUUAGUAAACGUUAAAGGUAAAGUUAGACGGCGUGAGACGUGCCGAACGGACGACGACGAGGGAGGUAGG
Molecule: ribosomal RNA, 629 nt
Filed under: uncultured bacterium
Lineage: Bacteria
Description: bacterial SSU rRNA
Rfam family: Bacterial small subunit ribosomal RNA (bases 1-538)
Source: RNAcentral